GACGAACGCUGGCGGCGUGCCUAAAACAUGCAAGUCGAACGGAGUAGCAAUACUCAGUGGCGAACGGCGGAGUAAUACAUAAGCAACGUGCCCUGAAGACUGGGAUAGCGGACCGAAAGGUCCAGUAAUACCGGAUGUGGCCCUCAUGAGACAUCUCGAGAGGAUUAAAUGGUUUUUCGCUUCAGGAGCGGCUUAUGACCUAUCAGCUUGUUGGCGAGGUAACGGCUCACCAAGGCGACGACGGGUAGGGGGUCUGAGAGGAUGAUCCCCCCGAGUGGGACUGAGACACGGCCCACACACCUACGGGUGGCAGCAGUUGGGAAUCUUGCACAAUGGGGGAAACCCUGAUGCAGCGACGCCGCGUGGAGGAUGACGGAUCUAGGUCUGUAAACUCCUUUUUCAUGGAAAGACUUAGGACGGUACCAUGAGAAUAAGGACCGGCUAACUACGUGC
Molecule: ribosomal RNA, 453 nt
Filed under: uncultured bacterium
Lineage: Bacteria
Description: bacterial SSU rRNA
Rfam family: Bacterial small subunit ribosomal RNA
Source: RNAcentral